RNAcentral lists this unclassified non-coding RNA (18 nucleotides) under Chlamydomonas reinhardtii. RNAcentral's name for it is "small RNA Cre_1121". Lineage: Eukaryota; Viridiplantae; Chlorophyta; Chlorophyceae; Chlamydomonadales; Chlamydomonadaceae. The record is from RNAcentral.
CCGGGUUGGGAGGGCAGG